Molecule: ribosomal RNA, 2912 nt
Filed under: Pseudomonas aeruginosa
Lineage: Bacteria; Pseudomonadati; Pseudomonadota; Gammaproteobacteria; Pseudomonadales; Pseudomonadaceae
Description: 23S ribosomal RNA
Rfam family: Bacterial large subunit ribosomal RNA
Source: RNAcentral
GUUAUAUGGUCAAGUGAAGAAGCGCAUACGGUGGAUGCCUUGGCAGUCAGAGGCGAUGAAAGACGUGGUAGCCUGCGAAAAGCUUCGGGGAGUCGGCAAACAGACUUUGAUCCGGAGAUCUCUGAAUGGGGGAACCCACCUAGGAUAACCUAGGUAUCUUGUACUGAAUCCAUAGGUACAAGAGGCGAACCAGGGGAACUGAAACAUCUAAGUACCCUGAGGAAAAGAAAUCAACCGAGAUUCCCUUAGUAGUGGCGAGCGAACGGGGAUUAGCCCUUAAGCUUCAUUGAUUUUAGCGGAACGCUCUGGAAAGUGCGGCCAUAGUGGGUGAUAGCCCCGUACGCGAAAGGAUCUUUGAAGUGAAAUCGAGUAGGACGGAGCACGAGAAACUUUGUCUGAACAUGGGGGGACCAUCCUCCAAGGCUAAAUACUACUGACUGACCGAUAGUGAACCAGUACCGUGAGGGAAAGGCGAAAAGAACCCCGGAGAGGGGAGUGAAAUAGAACCUGAAACCGUAUGCGUACAAGCAGUGGGAGCCUACUUGUUAGGUGACUGCGUACCUUUUGUAUAAUGGGUCAGCGACUUAUAUUCAGUGGCAAGCUUAACCGUAUAGGGUAGGCGUAGCGAAAGCGAGUCUUAAUAGGGCGUUUAGUCGCUGGGUAUAGACCCGAAACCGGGCGAUCUAUCCAUGAGCAGGUUGAAGGUUAGGUAACACUGACUGGAGGACCGAACCCACUCCCGUUGAAAAGGUAGGGGAUGACUUGUGGAUCGGAGUGAAAGGCUAAUCAAGCUCGGAGAUAGCUGGUUCUCCUCGAAAGCUAUUUAGGUAGCGCCUCAUGUAUCACUCUGGGGGGUAGAGCACUGUUUCGGCUAGGGGGUCAUCCCGACUUACCAAACCGAUGCAAACUCCGAAUACCCAGAAGUGCCGAGCAUGGGAGACACACGGCGGGUGCUAACGUCCGUCGUGAAAAGGGAAACAACCCAGACCGCCAGCUAAGGUCCCAAAGUUGUGGUUAAGUGGUAAACGAUGUGGGAAGGCUUAGACAGCUAGGAGGUUGGCUUAGAAGCAGCCACCCUUUAAAGAAAGCGUAAUAGCUCACUAGUCGAGUCGGCCUGCGCGGAAGAUGUAACGGGGCUCAAACCACACACCGAAGCUGCGGGUGUCACGUAAGUGACGCGGUAGAGGAGCGUUCUGUAAGCCUGUGAAGGUGAGUUGAGAAGCUUGCUGGAGGUAUCAGAAGUGCGAAUGCUGACAUGAGUAACGACAAUGGGUGUGAAAAACACCCACGCCGAAAGACCAAGGGUUCCUGCGCAACGUUAAUCGACGCAGGGUUAGUCGGUUCCUAAGGCGAGGCUGAAAAGCGUAGUCGAUGGGAAACAGGUUAAUAUUCCUGUACUUCUGGUUACUGCGAUGGAGGGACGGAGAAGGCUAGGCCAGCUUGGCGUUGGUUGUCCAAGUUUAAGGUGGUAGGCUGAAAUCUUAGGUAAAUCCGGGGUUUCAAGGCCGAGAGCUGAUGACGAGUCGUCUUUUAGAUGACGAAGUGGUUGAUGCCAUGCUUCCAAGAAAAGCUUCUAAGCUUCAGGUAACCAGGAACCGUACCCCAAACCGACACAGGUGGUCGGGUAGAGAAUACCAAGGCGCUUGAGAGAACUCGGGUGAAGGAACUAGGCAAAAUGGCACCGUAACUUCGGGAGAAGGUGCGCCGGCUAGGGUGAAGGAUUUACUCCGUAAGCUCUGGCUGGUCGAAGAUACCAGGCCGCUGCGACUGUUUAUUAAAAACACAGCACUCUGCAAACACGAAAGUGGACGUAUAGGGUGUGACGCCUGCCCGGUGCCGGAAGGUUAAUUGAUGGGGUUAGCGCAAGCGAAGCUCUUGAUCGAAGCCCCGGUAAACGGCGGCCGUAACUAUAACGGUCCUAAGGUAGCGAAAUUCCUUGUCGGGUAAGUUCCGACCUGCACGAAUGGCGUAACGAUGGCGGCGCUGUCUCCACCCGAGACUCAGUGAAAUUGAAAUCGCUGUGAAGAUGCAGUGUAUCCGCGGCUAGACGGAAAGACCCCGUGAACCUUUACUGUAGCUUUGCACUGGACUUUGAGCCUGCUUGUGUAGGAUAGGUGGGAGGCUUUGAAGCGUGGACGCCAGUUCGCGUGGAGCCAUCCUUGAAAUACCACCCUGGCAUGCUUGAGGUUCUAACUCUGGUCCGUGAUCCGGAUCGAGGACAGUGUAUGGUGGGCAGUUUGACUGGGGCGGUCUCCUCCUAAAGAGUAACGGAGGAGUACGAAGGUGCGCUCAGACCGGUCGGAAAUCGGUCGCAGAGUAUAAAGGCAAAAGCGCGCUUGACUGCGAGACAGACACGUCGAGCAGGUACGAAAGUAGGUCUUAGUGAUCCGGUGGUUCUGUAUGGAAGGGCCAUCGCUCAACGGAUAAAAGGUACUCCGGGGAUAACAGGCUGAUACCGCCCAAGAGUUCAUAUCGACGGCGGUGUUUGGCACCUCGAUGUCGGCUCAUCACAUCCUGGGGCUGAAGCCGGUCCCAAGGGUAUGGCUGUUCGCCAUUUAAAGUGGUACGCGAGCUGGGUUUAGAACGUCGUGAGACAGUUCGGUCCCUAUCUGCCGUGGACGUUUGAGAUUUGAGAGGGGCUGCUCCUAGUACGAGAGGACCGGAGUGGACGAACCUCUGGUGUUCCGGUUGUCACGCCAGUGGCAUUGCCGGGUAGCUAUGUUCGGAAAAGAUAACCGCUGAAAGCAUCUAAGCGGGAAACUUGCCUCAAGAUGAGAUCUCACUGGGAACUUGAUUCCCCUGAAGGGCCGUCGAAGACUACGACGUUGAUAGGCUGGGUGUGUAAGCGUUGUGAGGCGUUGAGCUAACCAGUACUAAUCGCCCGUGAGGCUUGACCAUAUAACACCCAAACA